GGGCGAGUGGCGGAAUUGGUAUACGCGCACGACUCAAAAUCGUGUUCCUUCGGGAUUGAGGGUUCAAGUCCCUCCUCGCCCACCA
Molecule: transfer RNA, 85 nt
Filed under: Candidatus Saccharimonadota bacterium
Lineage: Bacteria; Candidatus Saccharimonadota
Also listed under: 2 other names
Description: tRNA-Leu
Rfam family: tRNA
About the family: Transfer RNA (tRNA) molecules are approximately 80 nucleotides in length. Their secondary structure includes four short double-helical elements and three loops (D, anti-codon, and T loops).
Source: RNAcentral